Molecule: ribosomal RNA, 380 nt
Filed under: uncultured Acetobacter sp.
Lineage: Bacteria; Pseudomonadati; Pseudomonadota; Alphaproteobacteria; Acetobacterales; Acetobacteraceae
Description: bacterial SSU rRNA
Rfam family: Bacterial small subunit ribosomal RNA
Source: RNAcentral
UGGGGAAUAUUGGACAAUGGGGGCAACCCUGAUCCAGCAAUGCCGCGUGUGUGAAGAAGGUCUUCGGAUUGUAAAGCACUUUCGACGGGGACGAUGAUGACGGUACCCGUAGAAGAAGCCCCGGCUAACUUCGUGCCAGCAGCCGCGGUAAUACGAAGGGGGCUAGCGUUGCUCGGAAUGACUGGGCGUAAAGGGCGUGUAGGCGGUUUGUACAGUCAGAUGUGAAAUCCCCGGGCUUAACCUGGGAGCUGCAUUUGAUACGUGCAGACUAGAGUGUGAGAGAGGGUUGUGGAAUUCCCAGUGUAGAGGUGAAAUUAGUAGAUAUUGGGAAGAAUCAUCCGGUGGCGAAGGCGGCAAUCCUGGCUCAUUAGCUAUCGCUA